RNAcentral lists this ribosomal RNA (510 nucleotides) under uncultured bacterium. RNAcentral describes it as "partial 16S ribosomal RNA". It matches the Rfam family "Bacterial small subunit ribosomal RNA", at positions 28 to 507 of the family's 1533-position model. The record is from RNAcentral.
GACGAACGCUGGCGGCGUGCUUAACACAUGCAAGUCGAACGAAGAGCGAUGGAAGCUUGCUUCUAUCACUCUUAGUGGCGAACGGGUGAGUAACGCGUAAUCAACCUGCCCUUCAGAGGGGGACAACAGUUGGAAACGACUGCUAAUACCGCAUACGAUCUAAUCUCGGCAUCGAGGAUAGAUGAAAGGUGGCCUCUACAUGUAAGCUAUCACUGAAGGAGGGGAUUGCGACUGAUUAGCUAGGUGGAGGGGUAACGGCCCACCAAGGCGAUGAUCAGUAGCCGGUCUGAGAGGAUGAACGGCCACAUUGGGACUGAGACACGGCCCAGACUCCUACGGGAGGCAGCAGUGGGGAAUCUUCCGCAAUGGACGAAAGUCUGACGGAGCAACGCCGCGUGAGUGGUGACGGCCUUCGGGUUGUAAAGCUCUGUUAAUCGGGACGAAAGGCCUUCUUGCGAAUAGUGAGAAGGAUUGACGGUACCGGAAGAGAAAGCCACGGCUAACUACGUG